RNAcentral lists this ribosomal RNA (253 nucleotides) under uncultured bacterium. RNAcentral describes it as "partial 16S ribosomal RNA". It matches the Rfam family "Bacterial small subunit ribosomal RNA", at positions 524 to 776 of the family's 1533-position model. The record is from RNAcentral.
UACGUAGGGUGCGAGCGUUGUCCGGAAUUAUUGGGCGUAAAGAGCUCGUAGGCGGUUUGUCGCGUCGGCCGUGAAAACUUGGGGCUUAACUCCAAGCUUGCGGUCGAUACGGGCAGACUUGAGUUCGGCAGGGGAGACUGGAAUUCCUGGUGUAGCGGUGAAAUGCGCAGAUAUCAGGAAGAACACCAACGGCGAAGGCAGCUCGCUAGGACGGUACUGACGCUGAGACGCGAAAGCGUGGGGAGCGAACAGG